Molecule: long non-coding RNA, 325 nt
Filed under: Homo sapiens (human)
Lineage: Eukaryota; Metazoa; Chordata; Mammalia; Primates; Hominidae
Description: non-protein coding lnc-FAM104A-3:1
Source: RNAcentral
GCUGCUGUUCUACCCUGGCUGCAGGGAUGGGCUGAUCGUGGAGGAGGGACAGCGCUGCCGCUGCCACUCCCUCGCCUGCAACACGUGCCUCUGUGUGCACUUCACCCACAAGGUAACAAAUUGGAAGUACUCAAAGCUGAAAGAAGUGGAUGAUGGGCUUGGGGGAGCAGCUGCCUGGGAGGAUGUUGACUCUACUGCAGAGCCAUGUCCUCAAUGAGAACCUCCUUGUGCUUACUACAUGUAGCUUCAGACCCACUCUGCAGAUGAGCCGAAGACCACCUUCUACCAGUGCUGCAGGACUCAGUGUGGACACCACUGGAGGGAU